ACAGAGUCAAGAGGCCUAAAUGAUGGGUUUAUGUUCAACAGGCCGAAAUGUUAAACAGGCCGAAUUAAAAAUUGAAACCCACAAACACAAUAAUCUGUAUCUAACGUGGACAAUUUGUAGAAUAUGAUUGGCUGAUUAUAAUUGAUGACGUGGACAGCAUGAGGGGAGCCCUUAUUCCCCUUUUAGUAUUGUAUUGAUACAUUUUUAUGAAUAUUUUAGAUAAAAAAGAAAUAUAGUCACUUUUUUAAUGUUAUAUAUCAUUAACUUUAUAAAUGUAAAUGAUAAUUUAAUUUUUAUAUAAAUAAAUUUAGUUAACAAUAAAAUUAUAAUUUUUAAAAUAACUAUAAAACAAAAAACAAUUUUUGAUUGAUUAAUUUUCAACCAUUGAUUGCAUUUAAUCCAAUGGUUACAAAUCAAUUUUAGUCAAUCCUCAUCCUUUCUCCUUGUUGGUCAAUCUAUCAAAAUUAGGAUUAGAAUUUCUGUCCAUUGAUUGUUUUUGAUCUUGUGGUCUAAGAUCAAUCUUCUCUUUACGAUACUAAAAUCACAAAGUCUUCUCUUCUCCUUCGCUAGAGAGUCAUGUUUCCACUCUGGUCUUAUCCUUUGGUUCAUCCUCCCGAAGCUUUGUCAUUCACAACAGCGAGCAUACCAAGAGUCGCAAAGAACCCUAACCGCCGCACAAACAAACCUUUUCGACGAUAUCAGCAUCUAUCCUUUCUCUUCAAGAGAUUCAGAGAUGGCAGAGCAUCACCGGUGGCAAGAUGAAAGGCAUAGGAGCUACGUGUACCAGCGUUAGUGGCAAAGCGGAGCACCGGAGGAGGCAUAAGAAAAAGGCUGAUGACGGUGCCUCAAACUUCUCUCCGCUUAGACAGAGGAAGAGGAAAACAGUGUUGGCAGAUCUCGAGCUUCUCUCUUCUGCGUCUCCGGUGAAGCUCUCCGACGCUGCCGCUGCCGCUGCUCACCUCGCCGGAUUUGAUGGAGAAGACAACACCAUGCGGCUGAGAAGAUUACAUCUAGGUUUUUUUUUCUGUUUAGUUUUGUUUUUUAAUUUAGAUUUAGAUUAUUGUAAUUCAGUUUUAAUUCAUGAAUCAAUUUUAGUCUACAAAGAAAAAACAAAAAAAAAGGAGAAGAACUUAAAGUUCGAAACAAAAUGGAGGAGAAGAGUUUUACCUACUCGACACGUGGCGAGAAAAUGAGAUAGGAGAGGUGAGGUGGCGCUCUAAGGAGCCUUUCUCUUCUACUUUAUUAAUAUAGAUAUUAUAACUUUUCUAAAACGUGUAUAGGUCGAUUUACCUUGUCAGAAAUAUCAAAAAGAUUAUUUGUAAUAUUCUAACUUCUGUAAAACGGAUAUUCUUUUUUUUAAUUAAAUUUUUUAUUAAACUUUU
Long non-coding RNA from Brassica rapa (field mustard), 1382 nucleotides. RefSeq lists it as uncharacterized. NCBI's taxonomy places the organism in Eukaryota, Viridiplantae, Streptophyta, Magnoliopsida, Brassicales, Brassicaceae. The record is from RefSeq and is a predicted model, not a curated record.